RNAcentral lists this ribosomal RNA (363 nucleotides) under uncultured bacterium. Its description in RNAcentral is "bacterial SSU rRNA". It matches the Rfam family "Bacterial small subunit ribosomal RNA", at positions 29 to 416 of the family's 1533-position model. The record is from RNAcentral.
AACGAACGCUGGCGGCAGGCUUAACACAUGCAAGUCGAACGGUUGUAGCAAUACAGCAGUGGCAGACGGGUGAGUAACACGUGGGAACCUUCCUAGGGGUACGGAACAACUCAGGGAAACUUGAGCUAAUACCGUAUACGUCCGUGAGGAGAAAGAUUUAUCGCCCUUAGACGGGCCCGCGUAGGAUUAGGUAGUUGGUGGGGUAAUGGCCUACCAAGCCUACGAUCCUUAGCUGAUCUGAGAGGAUGAUCAGCCACACUGGGACUGAGACACGGCCCAGACUCCUACGGGAGGCAGCAGUGGGGAAUCGUUGGACAAUGGGCGCAAGCCUGAUCCAGCCAUGCCGCGUGAGUGAAGAAGGCC